Molecule: ribosomal RNA, 289 nt
Filed under: uncultured Vibrio sp.
Lineage: Bacteria; Pseudomonadati; Pseudomonadota; Gammaproteobacteria; Vibrionales; Vibrionaceae
Description: partial 16S ribosomal RNA
Source: RNAcentral
CUACUGGGGUAUCUAAUCCUGUUUGCUCCCCACGCUUUCGCAUCUGAGUGUCAGUAUCUGUCCAGGGGGCCGCCUUCGCCACCGGUAUUCCUUCAGAUCUCUACGCAUUUCACCGCUACACCUGAAAUUCUACCCCCCUCUACAGUACUCUAGAUGACCAGUUUCAAAUGCAAUUCCGAGGUUGAGCCCCGGGCUUUCACAUCUGACUUAAUCAUCCACCUGCAUGCGCUUUACGCCCAGUAAUUCCGAUUAACGCUCGCACCCUCCGUAUUACCGCGGCGGCUGGCAC